GCCGCCGCCACACGUUGCCUUUGCUUGUCCCUGUCCUCCGCCGCCACGCCUCUUGUUUCCUCAUCCCCGUCCUCCACCUCCACCUCUGCCGCCACGCCUCUCGUAUCCUCAUCCCUGUCCUCUGCCUCCACCUCCCGGCCUCCACUUCCCCGCCACCAAUCGAUGAUGGCGGCCCGAGAUCCAUGGUGGCGGCGGUUGCAGCGACCCCAUGGGAGUGGCGGCCAACACUAGUCGCCGCAGCGCACCUCUUUUGCUCACAACGAACGGCCUGGGCCAUGGAUCUCACCAUGGGCCUCCCUCCUCCGUCUCCUAGGCCCCCCAGCUGCCUCUCCAUCUGAAAAUUUGGAGCAGCAAGGGUCGGACUAGCAGAGGAUGACGACCUUGACCUGCCGGAGUCUCGAGCUUGACGAUGCCCCGCACAAGAUGAACAGGAGCUCUCUGCCUCUCCAGUUCCAUGGACAGUGAUGACUGGGACCCCACUCUCAAGCCCGACGAGCUGGGCGAGCUCGACGCCAAGGUCGUCCGCCCUGCCCACCAUGAUUCCCCACAGAGCAAGAAGAAAACGUGGCCACUUCCUUUCCUGAUACUCGCAUAUUACUGCCAGGGAUAUAUUAGCACUGCUGGCUAUUUUAUUUUUCUUCUCUCACCGUACGAGUCUAGCGGUGUAAAAUUUGUGAGGUAUGCUAGUUAAUUAAGCAACUACUAGUUUAUAAGUAAAUGCCCAUGAGAUGCUCAUGUUUGUUCUGUUUUUCUUGUUUAUGGAGGGAAAAUAACUCAUCUAUCUCACUGAAUCCAUUAACCAAGAGUAGAUUGUUUGUUAACUAGGCCUGCUGUUAGACUGCUUCUCUGUUAUAUAUUAUGUGCAAACUGUCUAUGUGUUAUGUGGUGAAAAUAGCCAUCAUAUCGAUUUCCACACAAUCAAGUUUAUAGAUUUAUGCCACAUGAAUUUUCAUGCUAUUGUACCAAGAUGAUUGUGGAAUGCUUGGUUGAUCACAUUUGUUAUCUGCAAAUAUACGUGUUGUAUUUUUGUAUAUUUUGUUAUGAAAGACAUGUCCAUUUGGAAGAAAAACACUACUUGGAGAAAAAGGGGAAGCCAAAAUAGCUGACGACUAUGUAUUCUGGGGUGUGUCUGGUUUUGAGCCAAAGCUAGCCUUACUGCUAGUAUCCCCAUGUUUUAUACUUGGUUGUUACAUGUGCCAGAAAAUUAAUUAGCUAGCUCAUAUGCUUAUACCAACAUGGGUCGUAUCUAUCAGCCAGCUAGUACAUGUGUGUUCCACUAGGAAAACAUGUGCGCAUGCUGCUUCAUUGAACCUUUUUCUGCCCUUUUUCUGUUUGGUCAUGAUGAUUUAUUGGCUCCUUAUAUCAACUUUUCAAGUUAGGACCUCAAAUGCUCAUUUGCUAAAGAGAAAUAAAAAAACCUCAGAUACAGAUAUGUGGCAUGUUAAUUGGCUAAAAACCAAACUGAGACCCAACCAUUUUGCCCAAAAAUUGAUAGAUGCUAUGGCUAUAAUCCAAAACAACACUAGCACACCAAAUUUUUUCCCUUACUUUGGCAAUGCCAAAAUUUUGGCAGGGCAAGUUGGGGCACAAACCAAAUAGCCCCCUGAUUUCUCGGUUAUUGUUAACAUCAAAAUCUGGUACAAGUCACUCUUGAUUGUUCUUGGGUUAAUGCCAAGCUGCUUAUACAAAUCGUUGAUAUUAAUUUUUACAUGCAUAACUAGAAGUAGCUGAUGCCCUUUUACUUUAUCAGCUUAUAUAAUUGAUGCAUACAAGUAGCUCCUGAUCUUUGCUCAAUUUAAUAUAUAUCACAAUGAUGAAUUUCUUGUUCUCAGUACAUGUCACCAUGUUCAGGAUGUUACGUACUAAAUGCCUCUAUCUAGACAAGUUGUAAACAUAAACUUUUCCCACCCUUUACUCUGUUUUAUUUAUUUAUAAUAGAAACUGGUGCAGAGUUAAAUAUGUGUAGUGCUUGAAGACUUUUCAUCUUAAUUAUAUAUGGUGCCCAACAUUUUGUAAUCCUAUAAACCUGACAAAAGCUAACUCUAACUAUACCAGGUAUAUGGUCUUCUUUGUAGCUUUUACCUUUCAGUGAUUGUUGGUGCAUUGACUGUAAGAUAAAAUUGUUCAUUUUCAUUUGUUUGUUAGAUAAUGAACAUAGGAAACGGAAUAUCUUGAGUGUAGGCAUCAUUAGUAGGGGUUAUGUUUGCACUUAAGGUACGAAAUGAUUAUACCAAAUUUUGAUGACAGGUUUAUAUGGCCUCAACUACUGCUGCUAUAGUAAUUAGUUAUGUGAUGUGUUUUGUUACUUUGCCAUUUGACAUACAUUUGACACAUUUUUCUUUGGAUUUGGAGAAGAACCCGCCUUGCAAUGCCGAAGACAAUUUAUGCGCCGGACUCAUUGUUAUUGAAGCCUCGUUCGGGGGCUACUGAGGG
Molecule: long non-coding RNA, 2433 nt
Organism: Triticum dicoccoides
Lineage: Eukaryota; Viridiplantae; Streptophyta; Magnoliopsida; Poales; Poaceae
Exons: 3
Source: RefSeq, a predicted model, not a curated record